RNAcentral lists this long non-coding RNA (484 nucleotides) under Hordeum vulgare. RNAcentral's name for it is "long non-coding RNA (HVUL_LNC011876)". The record is from RNAcentral. Lineage: Eukaryota; Viridiplantae; Streptophyta; Magnoliopsida; Poales; Poaceae.
UUCUUGCAUGGCGAUAAAAUAGGAGAAUAUGCACUGUGGGCAUUAAAAAGGAACAUUUCCAUACGAAGGAACUUCAUUAUUACAUAGCCAAAUCAAAUGAAAAUCAUUAUACAUAAGUAAAGUCGACAAGAGAAACUGACUCACUUGAACAAGCUUGUCAUCAUAAUACAAAAGAUAUUACUUUAACAAAGAAACAAAAAAAAUGGGAUGGAACCACAACAAUUUAAAUAAACAAAACAUUUAUAGACACCAUAACAACAGCGACACCUAUAGACGGAAGGGUGCACACUCACGGGGUCCCGGCUUUCUCGUUGAGGGCAUUGGCACGUUCUAAGUACGUUUGAGCUUCAUUCUUGAGGAGGACGGCCUUUUUCGGGCGGGGCAGCAGCAGCCUCCUUCAGUUUAUCGGCAGCCCACUUAACAUAUCCUACGGCUCCGGAUUGAUAGUUGCAAAAAUGAAUGCACUUUGGGCUGCAAACCUCNN